Molecule: ribosomal RNA, 405 nt
Filed under: Acidobacteriota bacterium
Lineage: Bacteria; Pseudomonadati; Acidobacteriota
Description: Acidobacteria bacterium partial 16S ribosomal RNA
Rfam family: Bacterial small subunit ribosomal RNA
Source: RNAcentral
UGGGGGAUAUUGCGCAAUGGGGGCAACCCUGACGCAGCAACGCCGCGUGAAGGAUGAAGGUUUUCGGAUUGUAAACUUCUUUUAUUAAGGACGAAACUUGACGGUACUUAAUGAAUAAGCUCCGGCUAACUACGUGCCAGCAGCCGCGGUAAUACGUAGGGAGCAAGCGUUGUCCGGAUUUACUGGGUGUAAAGGGUGCGUAGGCGGCUUUGCAAGUCAGAUGUGAAAUCUAUGGGCUCAACCCAUAAACUGCAUUUGAAACUGUAGAGCUUGAGUGAAGUAGAGGCAGGCGGAAUUCCCCGUGUAGCGGUGAAAUGCGUAGAGAUGGGGAAGAACACCAGUGGCGAAGGCGGCCUGCUGGGCUUUAACUGACGCUGAGGCACGAAAGCGUGGGUAGCAAACAGG